AGAGACAGUCAGAGGUCCUGAUGGCCUCUAUACUGUCAGCAGCAGAGUGACUGUGGAGAAGAGCCACAGCAACAGCUUCACCUGCAGGGUUCGGCAGAACAAAACACAGCAAACCAGGCAGAAUCGGAUUCAUGUUCCAGAUUCUUACUUCCCGUCUUCUCCUGCUGCUCCUGUCGCCACUGGCUUGUCUGUUGUCUUCUUGUGUUUUGUUGCUGUUGUCGUCUUUGUUGUGUGUAUAUGCAGAUAUAUCGAAAACAAGAGAAAGAGGGAGGAGAACAAAACCAACUCUCAGGGUAACAACACCGAACUUCAGUCCCUGAAGGAGGAAGGAAGAAACCAGGAGCAGCUCAACACAGAAAGAGAGACACUGAAGGAUCUGGACAAGAAAAAGGCCAAACUGGAGGAAGAGCUGCAAAAGAAAGAGGAGGAAAGGAAACACUGUGUGGUGCAGUGUGAUAAUGAUUCUGAUUUUUGUAGUGAUGGAGAACAACAGAUGUGAAAACAAAUUAAAACUGCAGCAGAUGGAGAGAGAGAGGAGGGAGAGAAGGAGGAGGAGAAGAGAGACUCAAAGAAGGGGGGAAAUAGAGUUUGCUGACAGUAAAACCAUUUGAAGCCAUCAGACAGAGAAAAGGAGCUGAGCACAUCAGCUUUGGAUUUCAUGUCACAGCUGCCAGUCUUGAUGUUUCCCACUUCCACACUGGGAUUUGUAAAAGUGGAGACGAGGAGGAAGACUGGAAACAGAUCCAUGUUGACUUCAGAAUCCCAGAGACUUGACCACCACCAUCUCUCUGUCUCAGGUUGUUGACUUAAAAUGCAGAAAAAUGACUCAACAUGAGAUUAUACAGUUUUUAUGACAGUACUGACUUAGUAAUGUUUCUAGUUUUGGAUAUUAAAUUUUUGCAUAUUUUUGUAUCAUAGCUUAUUGUGUUGCUUAUUAUUAUGUUUUGAAUGUGUUGUGAUAACUCAACAUGUGAUUGUACAGUUAGAAAUGACAAUACUGUAUGUAUGUAUUUUUUGUAUCACAGCUUAUUGUGUUGUUCAUAAUUAGAUUUUGAAUGCAUACAUUCAACUUCUGUUUCCAGUUGUGUGAGAUAUAAAAUGAUUCAAAUUAAAAUUAUACACAGAGUUUAUAUCACACCACAUAAGUUAAAAAAAAAUGGACCCAAAUGUCUCUGAACUGUGCUGGCAUGGCUGUGGUGAGCCUGGUACUUUCAUGCAUUUAUUAUGGUUCUGCCCAGUGGUAAAACAAUUUUGGUUUGAAGUAAUUGAUAUUCUAAAAGUGAUAUUAAAUAUUCACAUUCCCCAGUGUCCUGUUGUAUGUGUAUUGGGAAGUAGAGUGGAAAAUAUACAUACAAGAAGGACUCAACGUACCAUUGCUCUAGCUUUUCUGUCUGUGAAGAGGACAAUACUUAUGAACUGCAAGAUACGCAAGCCAGACUGCUACAAUAUACAUAGUUGGCUGAAGGACUUUUUAGACCUGCUGUCAAUGGAAAAGGCAACCUCAGUGCUUAAAGAUAAUGAAAAUGAGCAAGGUGCUCCAUGGACUGUCAUUAGAGAACACUUAAACAAUAGAACAAUAACCUGAUCUGAAGUGUCUGACAUGUUUUUGUUGAACUGAACUGAUGUAAAACAAAAUGUUGAAGGAUCUGCCUAAUGUGAUGAAGCUCCGGCACCAUCAUUUCUUAAGUUUAUCUGUACCAACUCCACCCCCCUCCCUUUUUUUUUUUUUUGUCUUGUCUUAAAUUGUGCAUCAUUGUAAUGUGUUUUUUGUUGUGUUAUGUGAAAUGUGGUGCUGUCAUUGUCCUUUUUGUUUUUUUUUUUGAAAAAUUAUAAAUGGAAAAAAAAAAAACAUUUUGAAUGCAUUGUGAUGAUUAAAUUCUGCCUCAUUCCUCGGUGAUAAUGCACAUCAGGCUGUGUGUCAGUGUCACACCUGUACGAUAUGACAUCAGGUGUGUCUGCAGAAAAAAAAAGAUUUUGUAAGCUUGAACACUGUAAACUGAAGUGUAAAUAUUCAUCAUGACUUUUGAGUUGAGCUCUGGGUGGGAUGGAUUUUAUUUAGCUAUGAAAUGACAGGAUUCACAUGUCAAGCCAAGUAAUGUAAAAAUGCACUGCCUCUGUGUUCCUCGUACUGUAAUAAAGUUGAUUGAUGUUACAAUUCAA
Long non-coding RNA from Myripristis murdjan (pinecone soldierfish), 2160 nucleotides. RefSeq lists it as uncharacterized. Lineage: Eukaryota; Metazoa; Chordata; Actinopteri; Holocentriformes; Holocentridae. The record is from RefSeq and is a predicted model, not a curated record. The transcript is spliced from 3 exons.